AACGAACGCUGGCGGCAUGCCUAACACAUGCAAGUCGAACGAGACCUUCGGGUCUAGUGGCGCACGGGUGCGUAACGCGUGGGAACCUGCCCUUAGGUUCGGAAUAACUCCCCGAAAGGGGUGCUAACACCGGAUAAUGUCUUCGGACCAAAGAUUUAUCGCCUUUGGAUGGGCCCGCGUUGGAUUAGCUAGUUGGUAGGGUAAAAGCCUACCAAGGCGACGAUCCAUAGCUGGUCUGAGAGGAUGAUCAGCCACACUGGGACUGAGACACGGCCCAGAAUCCUACGGGAGGCAGCAGUGGGGAAUAUUGGACAAUGGGCGAAAGCCUGAUCCAGCAAUGCCGCGUGAGUGAUGAAGGCCUUAGGGUUGUAAAGCUCUUUUACCCGGGAUGAUAAUGACAGUACCGGGAGAAUAAGCACCGGCUAACUCCGUG
This 433-nucleotide ribosomal RNA is filed under the name uncultured bacterium. RNAcentral's name for it is "partial 16S ribosomal RNA". It matches the Rfam family "Bacterial small subunit ribosomal RNA", at positions 29 to 507 of the family's 1533-position model. The record is from RNAcentral.